Molecule: ribosomal RNA, 253 nt
Filed under: uncultured bacterium
Lineage: Bacteria
Description: partial 16S ribosomal RNA
Rfam family: Bacterial small subunit ribosomal RNA
Source: RNAcentral
UACAGAGGUCCCGAGCGUUGUUCGGAUUCAUUGGGCGUAAAGGGUGCGUAGGUGGCGCCGUAAGUGGGGUGUGAAAUCCCGGGGCUUAACCCCGGGACUGCAUUCGAUACUGCCGUGCUUGAGGACUGGAGAGGAGACUGGAAUUUACGGUGUAGCGGUGAAAUGCGUAGAUAUCGUAAGGAAGACCAGUGGCGAAGGCGGGUCUCUGGACAGUUCCUGACGCUGAGGCACGAAGGUCAGGGGAGCAAACGGG